AGAAACUUAGGUUAACCCAAACCGAAGGCCUUCAAAGCCUUAAAUAAGAGUUAAACCCUCUUAGCUUCUG
RNAcentral lists this transfer RNA (70 nucleotides) under Nyctiprogne leucopyga. RNAcentral describes it as "tRNA-Trp". It matches the Rfam family "tRNA". Rfam says of the family: Transfer RNA (tRNA) molecules are approximately 80 nucleotides in length. Their secondary structure includes four short double-helical elements and three loops (D, anti-codon, and T loops). The record is from RNAcentral. Lineage: Eukaryota; Metazoa; Chordata; Aves; Caprimulgiformes; Caprimulgidae.